This is a long non-coding RNA of Acipenser ruthenus (sterlet), 419 nucleotides long. RefSeq lists it as uncharacterized. NCBI's taxonomy places the organism in Eukaryota, Metazoa, Chordata, Actinopteri, Acipenseriformes, Acipenseridae. The record is from RefSeq and is a predicted model, not a curated record. The transcript is spliced from 3 exons.
AAAAGAAUGUUACCGUCCUAUGCCAAAUUGGAUAAUACCAACUAUCAGCGGAAUUGGAACUUGCAUUAUACUAGCGUCAUUAUGGCUCACUAUUCGGGCAUGUUGUAGAAGAAGGCUAUCAGCCAUGUACAUUGUUAAAACACCAACUGAAGUGAAGAAGAAUAUUAGAAAUCUAGCAGAUAUGGUUUACAAAUCAGAUUUGGACGAGGUCAGGAAUCUACUUGCGAGUCCCUCCUUUUACCAGAAAAGCUCAGAAAAGCGCCAGGUGGGAUUUUCAAGUGACCAUUCAAAGGGCAUUCAGAGCGAGACAGAGACAGGUGAAUUCACAACAUUUACCCCAGAUUCUACCUUUCAAAGUGGUCUUGAAACUAGUUUUGAUGAUAGCAGAUAAGGAGAAUCCAAUCCAAGAUAUUGGCAAU